AUGCAGUCUUCCUUCCUAUUUCUCUCCAGUCACGCUGAGGCCAAUUUGGGGUCCAAGUACAGGGAUCUGCUUUCAACAUGGAUGCUCUGGAGCCCCUGCCAUGGAACAGGACCCAUUCUAAGGAUGUUACAUGGGCCCCCUGGCUUCAUCCUCUCCACCUCCCUGGGAGGAAGGUGGAAACAGCAUCCCAUUCACAGAACCUGUCCCAAGUCUCCAUACUGAGAAGCAUAAGGAUGUAUAUCUUCUGCCGAAGCGGCAAUGAUGAGUUUUCAAAGGAAGGAGCAUGAAGAGAGGAGCCGUGUGUAUGCGCGGACUGACGUUUUUAAUGAGGAUACCUCCUGAGCUGCAUCCCACACUUAGCGGUAACUCUCAUCAUAUGUCCAAAGCUCCAUGUCAGGGAAAUCAAAUUAAAAACUGACACCAAGCAUCGAGAAGAGAGCAUUUGGGUGUCAGAGAGCAUCACUCGUACACAUUCAAACAGAAAAAGCUAGGAGCUGGUGAUGAGGCUGCUACCAGGCACAGGCCUUGAGGAAGUCCAAAGGUCCUCUCUGCCCAGACCCGGAAGCCCACACCAGGGGUGGACGCGGCUUUGGCAGAAAGAUUUCUGGGAGGCUGCUCACUGUCAAAUGCAGAGUGGAGGCCAGGAGAGGAUCCUGGUUCUUGGAGUCGCCCAGGAGCUCACCUUCCUGGGCUCCUGAGUUCUGAAUCCACUCCCUAGCACAAAUUCAUGGGUUUCUUAGACUAUCUUCUAUGUAUUUUUAUAAUGGGAAGAAAUGGCUUAUAACAUUCAAAGCAGGGAGACCUUCGAAGCAGUCAGCUCAGUGCCAGGCACAUGUAGGCAGGAAAUCAAAGUCAGGGGCUGUUCAAGCUGAAUUCAUGUCCAGGCCCUGCCACCAAAUUGCUGAGCAACUUUGC
RNAcentral lists this long non-coding RNA (915 nucleotides) under Papio anubis (olive baboon). Its description in RNAcentral is "lncRNA (ENSPANG00000037073.1)". The record is from RNAcentral. Lineage: Eukaryota; Metazoa; Chordata; Mammalia; Primates; Cercopithecidae.